This 307-nucleotide unclassified non-coding RNA is filed under the name plant metagenome. RNAcentral's name for it is "partial contains small subunit ribosomal RNA and internal transcribed spacer 1". The stretch from base 1 to 46 matches the Rfam family "Eukaryotic small subunit ribosomal RNA", at positions 1786 to 1831 of the family's 1831-position model. The record is from RNAcentral.
AAGUCGUAACAAGGUUUCCGUAGGUGAACCUGCGGAAGGAUCAUUAAUUAAUCGCGAAAUGCGUGGGGAGCCUUGUAAGUCUGCGGAGCUCCUAGUCUGGACUCUUCAGCGCUGGCCCGCGCCUCCUUUUGAUUACAUCCCAUCUGUGAACUUUUCCACUGUUGCUUCCGUGAGCCUGCUGUUCACGCUCUCUGAGAGUGGAUGCCUGAAAAGCCCUGGUCCUGCCAGGGGCGCACGGCAAUGGUACUAGAACUCUGGUUUUUAUGUCUUCCAAGUCUGAGUGAUAAAACACAUCAAACAAGUUAAA